Molecule: ribosomal RNA, 389 nt
Filed under: uncultured bacterium
Lineage: Bacteria
Description: bacterial SSU rRNA
Rfam family: Bacterial small subunit ribosomal RNA
Source: RNAcentral
GACGAACGCUGGCGGCGUGCUUAACACAUGCAAGUCGAGCGGUAAGGCCCUUUCGGGGGUACGACGAGCGGCGAACGGGUGAGUAACACGUGGGUGACCUGCCCUCAGCUCUGGGAUAAGCCUGGGAAACCGGGUCUAAUGCUGGAUAUGACUCCAUGACGCAUGUUGUGGGGUGGAAAGCCUUGUGCGGCUGAGGAUGGGCCCGCGGCCUAUCAGCUUGUUGGUGGGGUGAUGGCCUACCAAGGCGACGACGGGUAGCCGGCCUGAGAGGGCGACCGGCCACACUGGGACUGAGACACGGCCCAGACUCCUACGGGAGGCAGCAGUGGGGAAUCUUGCGCAAUGGGCGAAAGCCUGACGCAGCGACGCCGCGUGAGGGAUGACGGCCU